Acanthosepion pharaonis is the source of this 95-nucleotide non-coding RNA. Lineage: Eukaryota; Metazoa; Mollusca; Cephalopoda; Sepiida; Sepiidae. The record is from the annotation of a GenBank genome assembly.
UUACGGCCACAUCACGUUCAAACAUAGGUUCCCAUAUGAUCACCGAAGUUAAGCAACGUACUUAGAUGGGUGACCGCUUGGGAAUAUCAGGUGAU